This 496-nucleotide ribosomal RNA is filed under the name uncultured bacterium. Its description in RNAcentral is "partial 16S ribosomal RNA". It matches the Rfam family "Bacterial small subunit ribosomal RNA", at positions 28 to 506 of the family's 1533-position model. The record is from RNAcentral.
GAUGAACGCUGGCGGCGUGCCUAAUACAUGCAAGUCGAGCGAACAGACGAGGAGCUUGCUCCUCUGACGUUAGCGGCGGACGGGUGAGUAACACGUGGAUAACCUACCUAUAAGACUGGGAUAACUUCGGGAAACCGGAGCUAAUACCGGAUAAUAUAUUGAACCGCAUGGUUCAAUAGUGAAAGACGGUUUUGCUGUCACUUAUAGAUGGAUCCGCGCCGCAUUAGCUAGUUGGUAAGGUAACGGCUUACCAAGGCAACGAUGCGUAGCCGACCUGAGAGGGUGAUCGGCCACACUGGAACUGAGACACGGUCCAGACUCCGACGGGAGGCAGCAGUAGGGAAUCUUCCGCAAUGGGCGAAAGCCUGACGGAGCAACGCCGCGUGAGUGAUGAAGGUCUUCGGAUCGUAAAACUCUGUUAUUAGGGAAGAACAAAUGUGUAAGUAACUAUGCACGUCUUGACGGUACCGAAGCAGAAAGCCACGGCUAACUACGU